AAAUAUUGAGACACAAAAAUUUACAUCAGAGGAGCUUGUGCUGCCAAAACAUCAUCACAUGUUCCACCAAAGAGUUUACAGUUUUAAAGGUAGUGAUGCUAGAACUUCUUGUUUUGGGAUAACUAAUCUAAAUCAGCUGUUAAAAUGUCAAAGCUGCUAACCAAAAAGAACCAUCAAGCUGAACUAAAUCAGGGGAGAAGUGAGGAGGAAGGAGAAGGAGGUCAGUAACGUGGCAACUUCAACGCAAACAGAAGAGCUGCAUUUAUCAAACAUUCCCUGAAGUGUGGUAGAAGACAGGAAGAAUGACACUUGCUAAUUUGAAUUUCAGAACACACCUAAACCAUAUUCUGAUCUCCAGAUAUCAGAUUGAGACACAGUCUGGUCAACCAAAAUUUAGAAGUCUGAAUUCCUCAUAGAGUCAGUGAAAAGGGGUAAGCACCUCUGAAGGGUGACUUGUGCAAACUGUCAAGUGGGAGAUUAUGAGUAUGUACCAUUGUGUUUGCCUGCAGCCUAAAUAUAUCUGAUGAACAGUACUUCUAUCAGUUUCAUUGUAUGUUUACUAUUAGCAAUGCCAACUGGCAUAUUUUACGUAUGUGGCUUAAAGCAAAAAAUUUAAAGAAUUACCAGGAUUACUGGCAUGGAUACUUCACAG
Molecule: long non-coding RNA, 652 nt
Filed under: Anser brachyrhynchus (Pink-footed goose)
Lineage: Eukaryota; Metazoa; Chordata; Aves; Anseriformes; Anatidae
Description: lncRNA (ENSABRG00000018464.1)
Source: RNAcentral